CGUACACUCCUACGGGAGGCAGCAGUAGGGAAUCUUCCACAAUGGGUGCAAACCUGAUGGAGCAAUGCCGCGUGAGUGAAGAAGGUCUUCGGAUCGUAAAGCUCUGUUGUUAGAGAAGAACACGUGCUAGGUAACUACUAGCGCCUUGACGGUAUCUAACCAGAAAGUCACGGCUAACUACGUGCCAGCAGCCGCGGUAAUACGUAGGUGACAAGCGUUGUCCGGAUUUAUUGGGCGUAAAGGGAGCGCAGGCGGUCUGUUUAGUCUAAUGUGAAAGCCCACGGCUUAACCGUGGAACGGCAUUGGAAACUGACAGACUUGAAUGUAGAAGAGGAAAAUGGAAUUCCAAGUGUAGCGGUGGAAUGCGUAGAUAUUUGGAGGAACACCAGUGGCGAAGGCGAUUUUCUGGUCUAACAUUGACGCUGAGGCUCGAAAGCGUGGGGAGCGAACAGGAUUAGAAACCCGAGUAGUCCCAUGA
RNAcentral lists this ribosomal RNA (478 nucleotides) under uncultured organism. RNAcentral's name for it is "partial 16S ribosomal RNA". It matches the Rfam family "Bacterial small subunit ribosomal RNA", at positions 330 to 800 of the family's 1533-position model. The record is from RNAcentral.